This is a long non-coding RNA of Fukomys damarensis (Damara mole-rat), 322 nucleotides long. RefSeq lists it as uncharacterized. The transcript is spliced from 3 exons. The record is from RefSeq and is a predicted model, not a curated record. NCBI's taxonomy places the organism in Eukaryota, Metazoa, Chordata, Mammalia, Rodentia, Bathyergidae.
AGCCUGGAGAAACAUGAACAGAAAGAUGCCCAAAGUUCUGCAGAGACAAAGAUAAAGACAUCUGUACGUUAUCUACAGAGCCAGCAAAAUGCAGUCAAGGAAUGAAGCCCCAGGCUGGAAUCUGACUUGGCAAUUUAAAGAUCUGACAUCAAGGGAAGGUCGAGAAGGACCUGAAACUAAGUAUUGUAUACAAAUGAUUUUUAAAAAUACAAAUACUAUUAACUCUCUUAAGAAUACUCUAUGGGUACUUGGUGUAACAAAUGGAGAGGAAUGAGACCACUUGAGCAGAAAACCACCCGCAAGGGCUCCUAAAAUCCCAUUG